This 2860-nucleotide ribosomal RNA is filed under the name Capsicum annuum var. glabriusculum (American bird pepper). Its description in RNAcentral is "bacterial LSU rRNA". The stretch from base 1949 to 2817 matches the Rfam family "Bacterial large subunit ribosomal RNA", at positions 2048 to 2912 of the family's 2925-position model. Lineage: Eukaryota; Viridiplantae; Streptophyta; Magnoliopsida; Solanales; Solanaceae. The record is from RNAcentral.
AUUCUAUGUAAGUAAAUACUAGCAGGGCAUUCUCUUCCAUCAAUUUCUCUCACACUUACGAUGAAAGCUAAGAGCUUGCUCGAAGACAGCCUUUACUUUUUAGUAGUAAUCUUUCAAAUACUUUAAGAGGGGAUAGGUUCAUAGGAGGACUUGGUUACAUAGGAAGGAAAGAAUUAAACUAGAAGGGAUAAGAAAGGAAAUUACAUGAUAUCUUGGUAAUGGCACUCCAACAAGCUCGGCAAGGAGAGAAAGAAGAGAAGGAGAAGAGGAAGUACAGUGAAAAGGGUAUGAAAUAGGUUUCUUGUCACGAUUAUGAUUGCUUAUUUAGUUGGGAUUAGCAUCUUGACCAAAGAAUAAGGUAAAAAGAAGAGUUCCUGUCUUGGCUACAUGCCCAUUAAGAGCUAUACCUGGAGUCGAGCUAACUGCAUAGGCAGAGGGGAACUUUUCUAAAAAGACUAAUAGAAAUUAACCUCAUUAGAAACAUUGAAUCACACUCUGAAAGAAGGUUACAUCCCAAUAGAUGUCAGGAGGGAGCAAGGCAUGAUUACUCUAUCAUUCUCUGACCGCCCCUCUUUCCAUCUCUAAGUAUUGGUGUUAGUGUGUCUCGUUGAAAUUAUUCUGGUCAAUCCCUUUCCUGAACCAUAGGUAAGGGAUGAUAGAAGAUGGGCCCUAUAGCAAAAUAAACUAGCCCCUCAUUUGAGAGAGUAAAUAGAAUAGUGUUGGGCUUACAACAGUCUAACUUUUGCACGACUAAGCAAAUACUAAGCUCCCGCCCACCCCCAACCAAUUAGGGUAAAGUGUUCAUUCAUACCUGUAACAUCACCAAGAUAUUGGUCCAUGACCAUGUUUACUUUAUCUUCAAGAUCAAGCAUCCUGGCUCUCGGGGCCUCAGGCAAUCCUAGAUCCUUUCCUACUUCCUUAGUGAUUCCGAGAAGAUGCUUUAACCUCAUUAAGUUUUAGCUGGAUAUCAUGGUCCAAUAAAGAUUUCCAAUUCUAUUUUGAAAUAUUUUCAUCCGGGAUUGGAACGACCUAUGUUUUAAGGGAGGAGAGAAGGUAAACUAGCUUUCUUUAGUCGCCUCUCCCAUCUAGUCGAGUAGCUUUCACUCCUUCCUACUUACUUUAUUAUAAUAUAAAAUUAAGAUGGUACGUGUCCUAGUGGGAGAUUUUUAGUCAUAGUGGGAGCUUUUAGAAAUCACUUAGUACGUCAAGAUCAUAGGAAGAGGGAAGAACAAGGGAGAAGAUCUUCUUUAAAAGAAGACAAUUCCAACAGAAAGUCAAAAUGGGGAAUAGGAUGCCUUAAAGGUAAAUAAUAAAGAUCCUAAAUUAAAAAAGAAAAUACCUAUUAAACUGAUUACAAGAAUACCAGUUACAGUACCUAGUAUCCAAAGAGGAAUCCUUCCAGUAGUAUAGGCUAUUUACCCCACUUUCCUCCAAAUUUCAUCAAGUGGUUAUGCUAGAGACAUAAACAUCCUUGGAUAAUUGAAUUAUGAGAUCCUUCCAAAUGAGAUAAGAGAAUCUUAUUUAUUCUCUUUUAUUUUUUUAAUUUAAGAGAUAAUUGGAAAAUAAAAAAGCCAGUACAAAAAUGAGUAAUAACCCCCAUAGAGACUGGUACGAUGAAAUACAAAAUUUUAUUCGUUCGAGUUUGAUUGUGUCAUGGAUCUACAAUUCAGAUGUUCUUUAUCAUUGGAUGAACUAUUGAUAUUGAUCCCAAAAAACAAAUGGUAGGUACAGCUAGGCCGUGAACAGCCAACAUCGUAUUGUAAAAAUUGAACAGGUUCGAUCUAUAGUCAUUAGGGCCUCCUAAAACAAUCUACUAAAUUCAUCGAGUUGUUCCAAAGGAUCAAAAUGGCCAGUUAUUAAUGGAUUCCAUUGUUGGGUAAGUUUCAACCUGCACAAAAGGUGUAAUGAUCUGGGUACUAUGUCGGAAAGAGGCUCGGUGAAAUAGAUAUAUCUGUGAAGAUGCAAACUACCUAUACCUAGAAAAAAACACCCUAUGAAGCUUCACUAUUCCUUGGGAUUGGCUUUUGGCCUUUCCUGCUCAUCUUAGGUGGAAGGCAAAGAAGGCCUUUUUUAGGGGCCUCGAGCUAUCAGUGAGAUACCACUCUGGAAGGCUAGAAUUCUAACCUUGUGUCAGGACCUACGGGCCAAGGGACAGUCUCAGGUAGACAAUUUCUAUGGGGCGUAAGCCUCCCAAAAGGUAACUGAGGCAUACAAAGGUUUCCUCAGGCCAGAUAGAGAUUGUCCCUUGAGUGAAAAGGUAGAAGAGAGCUUGACUGCAAGACCCACCCAUCGAGCAGGGACGAAAGUAGGCCUUAGUGACCCGGCGGUGCUGAGUGGAAGGGCCAUCGCUCAACAGAGAAAAGUUACUCUAGGGAUAACAGGCUGAUCUUUCCCAAGAGCUCACAUCGACGGGAAGGUUUGGCACCUCGAUGUCGGAUCUUCGCCACCUGGGGCUGUAGUAUGUUCCAAGGGUUGGGUUAUUCGCCCACUAAAGCGCUACGUGAGUUAGGUUCAGAAUGUCAUGAGAUAGUUCGGUCCAUAUCUAGUGUGGGCGUUAGAGCAUUGAGAGGAUCUUUCUCUAAUAUGAGAGGACUGGGAAAGACGCAUAUCUAGUGUACCAGUUAUUGUACCUAUGGUAAACGCUGGGCAGCCAAGUGCGGAGUGGAUAACUGCUGAAAGUAUCAAAGUAGUAAGCCCACCCCAAGAUGAGCGCUCUCCUAUUCUGACUUCCCCAGAGCUUUCGGUAGCACAGCCGAGAUAGCGAUGGGUUCUCUGACCCUACGGGGAAGGAGCGACAGAAGUUUAUUGAGAAUUCAAGAGAAGUUCACAACGAGACAAGCCAUUUAUCAUUACGAUAGAU